AGAACGAACGCUGGCGGCACGCCUAACACAUGCAAGUCGAGCGCCCAGCAAUGGGAGCGGCGGACGGGUGAGUAACACGUGGGAACAUGCCUUUCGGUACGGAACAACUGCGGGAAACUGCAGCUAAUGCCGUAUACGCCCUUACGGGGAAAGAUUUAUCGCCGAAAGAUUGGCCCGCGUCUGAUUAGCUAGUUGGUGAGGUAACGGCUCACCAAGGCUUCGAUCAGUAGCUGGUUUGAGAGAACGACCAGCCACAUUGGGACUGAGACACGGCCCAAACUCCUACGGGAGGCAGCAGUGGGGAAUCUUGGACAAUGGGGGAAACCCUGAUCCAGCGAUGCCGCGUGAGUGAUGAAGGCCUUCGGGUUGUAAACUCUUUCGACGGGGACGAUAAUGACGGUACCCGUAGAAGAAGCUCCGGCUAACUUCGCGCCAGCAGCCGC
This 443-nucleotide ribosomal RNA is filed under the name uncultured bacterium. Its description in RNAcentral is "SSU rRNA". It matches the Rfam family "Bacterial small subunit ribosomal RNA", at positions 26 to 518 of the family's 1533-position model. The record is from RNAcentral.